Molecule: ribosomal RNA, 373 nt
Filed under: uncultured bacterium
Lineage: Bacteria
Description: bacterial SSU rRNA
Rfam family: Bacterial small subunit ribosomal RNA
Source: RNAcentral
ACAGAGGGUGCAAGCGUUGUCCGGAUUUAUUGGGCGUAAAGCGUCUGUAGGCUGCUUAACAAGUCUGGAGUGAAAGAAUGGAGCUCAACUCCAUACCCGCUUCGGAAACUGUUAAGCUAGAGACAGCUAGGGGUUCGUGGAAUUUCCAGUGUAGCGGUGAAAUGCGUAGAUAUUGGAAGGAACACCAGAGGCGAAGGCGGCGAACUGGAGCUGUUCUGACGCUGAGAGACGAAAGCCAGGGGAGCGAAAGGGAUUAGAUACCCCUGUAGUCCUGGCCGUAAACGAUGAGUACUAGCCGUCACGGGAAUCGACCCCUGUGGUGGCGCAGCUAACGCGUUAAGUACUCCGCCUGAGUAGUAUGUACGCAAGUAUG